GGGAUGUAAUAAGUUGGUCUAAAGUGAAGAAAUUAGUUUUGAACAUUUGACGACACACAGUUAAAGAAACAAUCACUGUGAUUUUGUUUUAUAAAAGAAUAUAGCAUCAGGCUCUAUAUUUAUAAUGUGGCUCCACUUGUAAAACAGAAACAGAAAGAAGAAAUUGUUGUUUCCUAUGCAAGUGAUUUUUAGGUAUCCAAAUUAAGCACGAGUUAAUAUUUCAGAAGUUGAAUUCCUGUUUAUGCUGUUUUCAAAUUUUGUUGAAGAGUUUUCUGAGUUGUAUCUGCAGGGAAGGGUAGUAUUUGUUUGCCUGUGGGAGGGGCUAAGCCUUAUUUAUAUAAGUGGGAAAGCUUUACCAGGAUCGUGUUGGUGAAAAGUUCUUGCAGACGUGAUGCUGUAUUUUUUUUAACUCUCUGGUAGUGCCAUCUUUCAUUUGAGAAGAACCCCGUCGUCCUCAUCCAUAUAGGACUUGUGUUGCUUUAACUCUGUCAUGAUCCUAACUAUAAAGUUAAUUGCAGCGGAAAGAGAUUUAUUACUGGCUCUGUUUUCUUGGUGCCUGACUACCCUGCAGUGUCAGUUUUUAUUGCAGGCACACAUUUAAAUCAGAGGUUCACAAACAGCAGUACUUCAUCCAACGUCACACUUUCCAGAGUUCUUUAACCUUCACGUGUGUGUUUGUCCUCCUUCUGUUCUCUCACUGCUGCUAAUCUCUUUUUUAUCUCAUAACAAACAAACACAGCUAACAACCCGGUUGUAAAUCUAGGUUGUGAACGGGCUCUUUAUGACUAAACUGAAUUGCAAAUCAUUUUUUGUUUCAGUAUGCUGGAUGUACUUGUCAACUGCAAACCAGAAAAACUACAGUUACUUCUCUUUACUUAAACAAUGCAGAAAACUCCACUCUAAAGUUCUUAUUAAAUAACAGUAAUAGCAGUCAUGGUUCAUCAGUAAGUCCCACACAAAAAAAUUAAAUUUCAGUGUUUAUCCUGAAAAAUAAAAAAGUGUUUUGUUUUUUUUUUGUUUUUUUUUUUUUUUAAACAACUUUAAAUAAUCUUUAAAUAUUUUAGUGGAGAAAAUUUUGCUUAUAAUAACAUUUCUUUUUUCGCCAAACAAAAAAAAUGCCAUUUGAAAUAAGUCGUGUUUGCUACGAAGAUAAACCUGGCUGGGCCACAAGACUUUUGUCUCACAGCUGAUAUUCAAAUGCCUUUGUCAGUUUUUACCUGUUCUCUUAAACCCUUCAGGUCACAGCAGAUAAUGAUCGUCAUGUUGGUUUGUUGAAAGUUUUGUCCCUUUUUAUAAUAGGUAGUCCACAGUCGAGUCAUGUGAUUAAUUGUUCAGUACGAUUAUUUACACCUUAAAUUGCUUAAAGCCAUUUUUUGACUUCCAAUCUGGGCUGAAUUGAUUGCAGCAUUCACAUUACAUGUAGUGGGUUUGAUGCGUUUAUUAUUGCAUUCUUUACAUUGUGCUUUGGUUGUGAAUGCUUUAUGAAUUGUGUGGAUGGAAUAAUCUAAAAAUGACAGAAGUAAAUCUAGUGUGACGGAGUUUGCUUCCCUCCUUUUUAAAUCUAAAUACAAUCUGUUAUUGUAAUCAGACAUUUGUUGUUGUACCUAAACAAGAUUUUAAAAAUAGAUAUUUGGGGAAGUUUCCUUUUUUCACCUUAUGAAAACUGUAUUGGUACUUUAUUUUAGUCAAAGUUCUUUUACAACCCCAAAUAUCUUUGACAUGAGAUGCAAAACCAGUGUGGACAAGUUGACAUCUACAUUUCAUUUUUUUUUCCAAAUUAAUGUUCCUCAAAAUUUGAGGAAUGUGUCUCUUUCAAGCACUUUCACAGGCACAGCUCAUCCUGACCGACGUCACCUUUUGUGUCUCAAACAUCUGUUUCCAGGACGUUUCCUCACUCGUUCAUGUGUCAAACCUGGCGGCGGGUUUGGAGGAGCCUGCAGGAGAACGAGUGGGUAUCUUCAUGGAAGAACAACCUCAAAGACGAGUGGCUUUAACGGAUACUUGCAACAUAAAAAUCUAGAAGAAAAACACUUGGCAGAAAGUAGGAGGGAGAGCAUGAAGCACAUUCCUCCCCCCAUAUAAGGAGAAAACUCCCGGAGUCCAUCUCCUCAUCUUUGAACUGCAUAAACACACACAAAUAAAAAAAACAGAAACUACAAACAGACUUUUAAAUCCUGGCCUGUAUUUCAGAGUUCUUGUCUUUCAUGAGGUGUUUUCUACUCGACGGGAAGCCUGGGCAGCCCAUCUGCCCGAUGUUUGCUCCUCUCCCGGGGUUUGGUUGAAAGAGCUGAAACCCCAGGAGGAGGCUGGCUGCUCACGGGGAGAGUCUAGGAAAUAGAAAUAAAGGAGGGGGGUUGGAGAGACGCUGGGUGGUGGUGUUAGUGAAGGUUUGGGAGCUGAAGAGGCAGACAGAUGAAGACAGACGGAGAGUCAGAGAGAGGAGAGCUUACCUUAAAAGGCUCUGUUUGCAGAGAGAGCAGGGUGUGAGGCUGUUUAGAGGUUUACUGCGCUCUGUGACUGUUAAAUUAACAGACUUAUGCAGGUAAUUAAGACGAUUUAUCAAACAGGAUAAACACAGUCUUUAGAAAGAGCCAGAAAAUCAUGACGGAUUUGUGGAAAAAAUGUAAAAAAUAAAAAAAUAAUAAAAAA
This is a long non-coding RNA of Oryzias melastigma (Indian medaka), 2649 nucleotides long. RefSeq lists it as uncharacterized. The transcript is spliced from 2 exons. The record is from RefSeq and is a predicted model, not a curated record. NCBI's taxonomy places the organism in Eukaryota, Metazoa, Chordata, Actinopteri, Beloniformes, Adrianichthyidae.